RNAcentral lists this long non-coding RNA (252 nucleotides) under Oryza brachyantha (malo sina). Its description in RNAcentral is "long non-coding RNA (OBRA_LNC001987)". The record is from RNAcentral. Lineage: Eukaryota; Viridiplantae; Streptophyta; Magnoliopsida; Poales; Poaceae.
CACCGACACUUUCUUUCUCCUCCUCAUUUUACUUCCGAAAAAAAAUAUACUAUAAACGAAAAAAAAGGAGAGAGAGUGAGAGACAGCAGUAGGUAGCAACGCGGUGGUUGCGCUUCGCUUCGGUUGAGUGCUCUCUCUCCAAGCAUCCCACCCCCACCAUUAUUAUACCACCGCCUCGCUUCCUCCUCCUCCUCCUCCCCCACGCGGCGCACCAGCUAGCCAGCGCAUGUGGUGGUGCUGACCCUCGCCGCC